CCAAAAAAAUCAAUUGUCCUUCCUUUUUAAAGGUUUGCUCGCUCCUUCCGAAAAAAAAAAAAAAGGGAGAAAAGAAAGAAAAAAAAAAAAAAACCUUCUGGUUCCCAACUCGGAGCAGUCACUCUUUACAAUUUAUUUUGUCGUACAUCAUUUGAUCACCAUGAAUUAGCAACAGCAAGAAAAUGUACGAGAGAGAGAGAAGGGGAGAGAGAGAAAGAGAGAGAGAGAGAGCGCAGAGCUUUCUGCAAGAGAAGAAGAAGAAAAAAUGUACGUGUGACAAAUUAUGCUACCAAGAAACAACACAUCAUUAUCCUUGGGCCUGGGGCUCAGUGAGUCGUAACGAGAGUAAUAGGAAAUCCACGGUUGGGGAGAGAAACGGUCGUGCAUGGCCAGUGGAGAGAGACCAUACAGGGGGAUGGAUGCUGGAGAGACUCGCAAAAUUAUGGCUCAAGGCUAUUGUAAAAAUUGUCGAGCGUAAAUGACUGCGAUUUCAAACAUCUUUGGAAGAAAGAAGGGGAAAAAGCGAGCCCCCCCCCCCGCCUCCCUCCCUCUUGCUCUCCCUCUCUCUUCUCUCUCUCUAUAAAGAACCGUCAAGUUUUAGUGCGCAUUGCUAAUUAGUCAAUUUCUCUCUGCCUUCACAGGCUGGCGACUUUGCUGCUGAGCUGAAACUGCUAAUUUCUGUGACCAGCUUUUUUCUUAGCUGUGAUCUGGAUGAAUGAGUAGCUGUCUCACAGAGAUGACAAAAAUAAACUCUAAUCCCCCCAAAAAUUUCCACUACAUCUUUCUCAUGCAUAGAUUUAUGAUCUUCAAGUGCCCUGUGCAAUAUGCAAACUUUUUGUCUGCGAGUGUGUGUGUGUGCUGGAGUGGGGGGGGUAAGUCUGUUGUAUUCAGGUUGCACAGUAUUUGGUUUGUGUCUCUGCUCUCCCCCCACACCCCAGAUGUGAUGGAAAUAAUGUCUGAUUUCAGCACCCAAUAUAUUCACACACACACACACACACACACACCCCCCUUGUAUUUAUAUUAUUGCUCUGACAGGAUACAUCCUCCUUCCUUGCAAGUAUGAUGAGGCUGGAGGGGUGAAAGGGAGAGAAAGAAAGUGAGGCUACUAAAUGGUAUUAGUGGUAAAACGUUCCCUUUACAUUUGUUCCCCUGCACUGUUGAAGAUUUAUGAUCUUGUUUGAAGGCAUAUUUUCUCUAUCGUUUUGUCUGGUUAGACAACCGUCUCUGAACUUCACUGUCAGCUCUUCAACAGAUAAGGGUUCAGAAGUCACAUUUUUUUUUUAUUGGAAGAUUAGCAUAUUGUCAGAUUUGUCUUUCAGUUUCGAGACUUUGCAAUGCAGAAGCCUGAAUCAAAUGGCAGGAAAGCAGCUGCUAUUUCACAAAUGUAACCUUUCAACUUUCUGCCAGAGCUGAUACCCCAGAAACGUGCACAGCACAGCCCAUAGGUUGGGGCUUUGUUUUGGUUUUUGAUCCUUUAUAGUCGUGAAAAACAGAGGGAAUUCUCAUUGUAGACAUUUUGGGCUUUUUCUUUCCACCGAGGGGCAUUUUGGUAGAGGACACGUUCUCCACAAUUUGUCUCAUGAUAUAUUGCACCCUCACAUUUAUAGCUCUGUUCUUCUGUUGUCAAACUUCCAACUGUCAAAAAACAAAAAAAAAAAAAAAAAAAAACCCAAAAAAACCCCAACAGACAAAAAGGUGGAAUGUGUGCCCUUGAAUGAAAUGCGCAUGAAAGGAGACUGGGGCAAGCACUUACAGAAAGUUUUACCUGGUGUGAAAGCCAUGAGUCCCAUCCCCUUUCCCAGCUAAUACUCAGACCCCACUAAUUAAACUACACACUAGGAGUGGGACUUUGAAUGCCAGGUCUCAUGGUCUUUGUCUUUGACUUGGCCUAGGAUGCCAGCGCAUUUACAGAGCUGGAGUCAGAGUGCUCAGGAAUGCAUAGAACUGGAACUGAAAGGCAUCAAGGCAGUUUUUGCUUUUAUUUACUUUCUGGUGACCUUAUAAAAGGAGUUCUGCCAUACCUUUCUGGUUUUCCUCACCAGAUAGCUCCCUUCCUCCUCCCUUGGACAUCAAUUAUUUCUGCAAGACAUUUCCAAGAGAGAUUAGCUGGUGUUUCAGGGCGUGGUAUUCUUUCCCAAAGAAUGACACCAUCAUAUGCUGCCUCUAAAACCAUUUUCUUUGUUUUGACCCUGUCAUGCCUCCCCUUCCUCUCAGUUGUACCCUGUUGGCCACCCAGAUUUUGACCCUGUUCAGGUGAAGAAAAUCAUGAAUUAUAAGAUGCCUCCAUUUCGAUAGUAGCUGGUAUCUUCAGUGGUGCGAGUUGUCUCCCAACUGUAGUAGAUGGGAAGAACAGUUUUUAUAUCAUGCUUGUGCUGCUGAACUUUACUGCUGUAAUGGCUGUAAAUAAUCCUCAUGAGGUUUUGUAUCAGUUUUCACUGACUGAUGUGUCACACACUCUUAUACCAUUGUAAGCUGCCAAAAUAUGUCUGUGCCAAUGUGUAGCGAGUUUCUGGAACUAGCAUACUGGUUUGUUUGCUCAUUAGUGAAAAGAUCUGGGUAAUUUUUAUUUAACUUUGCUACACUAACUCAAGUUGAAAUAAAGUUUUGUCUUAC
Molecule: long non-coding RNA, 2613 nt
Filed under: Strigops habroptila (Kakapo)
Lineage: Eukaryota; Metazoa; Chordata; Aves; Psittaciformes; Psittacidae
Description: lncRNA (ENSSHBG00005004715.1)
Source: RNAcentral